GACGAACGCUGGCGGCGUGCUUAACACAUGCAAGUCGUACGGUAAGGCCCUUUCGGGGGUACACGAGUGGCGAACGGGUGAGUAACACGUGAGUAACCUGCCCACAACUUUGGGAUAACGCUAGGAAACUGGUGCUAAUACUGGAUAUGUGCUCCUGCUGCAUGGUGGGGGUUGGAAAGCUCCGGCGGUUGUGGAUGGACUCGCGGCCUAUCAGCUUGUUGGUGGGGUAGUGGCCUACCAAGGCGGCGACGGGUAGCCGGCCUGAGAGGGUGACCGGCCACAUUGGGACUGAGAUACGGCCCAGACUCCUACGGGAGGCAGCAGGGGGGAAUAUUGCACAAUGGGCGCAAGCCGGAUGCAGCAACGCCGCGUGCGGGAUGACGGCCUUCGGGUUGUAAACCGCUUUCAGCAGGGACGAAGCUUUUUGUGACGGUACCUGCAGAAGAAGCACCGGCUAACUACGUG
RNAcentral lists this ribosomal RNA (465 nucleotides) under uncultured bacterium. RNAcentral's name for it is "partial 16S ribosomal RNA". It matches the Rfam family "Bacterial small subunit ribosomal RNA", at positions 28 to 507 of the family's 1533-position model. The record is from RNAcentral.